AUGGUUAUCCCACAGGACUGCUCAUCCCACAGGACUGGUUAUCCCACAGGACUGGUUGUCCCACAGGACUGGUUACCCUGCAGGGCUGGUUAUCCCACAAGAUGGUUAUCCCACAGGAUGGUUAUCUCACAGGAUGGUUAUCCCACAGGAUGGUUAUCCCACAGGAUGGUUAUCUCACAGGAUGGUUAUCCCACAGGACUGGUUAUCCCACAGGACUGUCAUCCCACAGGAUGGUUAUCCCACAGGACUGGUUAUCCCAAAGGACUGUCAUCCCACAGGAUGGUUAUCCCACAGGACGGUUAUCCCACAGGACUGUCAUCCCACAGGACUGUCAUCCCACAGGACUGCUCAUCCCACAGGAUGGUUAUCCCACAGGAUGGUUAUCCCACAGGAUGGUUAUCUCACAGGACUGGUUAUCUCACAGGACUGGUUAUCCCACAGGACUGGUUAUCCCACAGGAUGGUUAUCCCACAGGAUGGUUAUCUCACAGGAUGGUUAUCUCACAGGAUGGUUAUCUCACAGGAUGGUUAUCUCACAGGAUGGUUAUCCCACAGGACUGGUUAUCCCACAGGACUGUCAUCCCACAGGAUGGUUAUCCCACAGGACUGGUUAUCCCACAGGACUGUCAUCCCACAGGAUGGUUAUCCCACAGGACUGGUUAUCCCACAGGACUGUCAUCCCACAGGAUGGUUAUCUCACAGGAUGGUUAUCUCACAGGAUGGUUAUCUCACAGGAUGGUUAUCCCACAGGACUGGUUAUCCCACAGGACUGUCAUCCCACAGGAUGGUUAUCCCACAGGACUGGUUAUCCCACAGGACUGUCAUCCCACAGGAUGGUUAUCCCACAGGACUGGUUAUCCCACAGGACUGUCAUCCCACAGGAUGGUUAUCCCACAGGACUGGUUAUCCCACAGGACUGUCAUCCCACAGGAUGGUUAUCUCACAGGAUGGUUAUCUCACAGGAUGGUUAUCCCACAGGACUGGUUAUCCCACAGGACUGUCAUCCCACAGGAUGGUUAUCCCACAGGACUGUCAUCCCACAGGACUGCUCAUCCCAUGCAAGCCAGUGCUGCGGCUGCCUGGCUUCCCUGCCUCCCGCAUACUGACGUGUGAAGGUCCUCUCUGA
RNAcentral lists this long non-coding RNA (1125 nucleotides) under Callithrix jacchus (white-tufted-ear marmoset). RNAcentral's name for it is "lncRNA (ENSCJAG00000080469.1)". The record is from RNAcentral. Lineage: Eukaryota; Metazoa; Chordata; Mammalia; Primates; Cebidae.